This 1486-nucleotide ribosomal RNA is filed under the name uncultured prokaryote. RNAcentral describes it as "partial 16S ribosomal RNA". It matches the Rfam family "Bacterial small subunit ribosomal RNA". The record is from RNAcentral.
GAGUUUGAUCCUGGCUCAGGAUGAACGCUAGCGGGAGGCUUAAUACAUGCAAGUCGAACGGUAAGGUCAGCCUUUGGUUGAUACACGAGUGGCGCACGGGUGAGUAACGCGUACACAACUUACCCUUAAGCGGGGGAUACCCUUGGGAAACUGAGACUAAUACCCCAUAAUAUUGGUUUAUUAAGAUGGUAUACCAAUUAAAGCUCCGGCGCUUAAGGAUGGGUGUGCGUCCCAUUAGCUAGUUGGUGAGGUAACGGCUCACCAAGGCGACGAUGGGUAGGGGGCGUGAGAGCGUGGACCCCCACACUGGUACUGAGACACGGACCAGACUCCUACGGGAGGCAGCAGUGAGGAAUAUUGGUCAAUGGGCGCAAGCCUGAACCAGCCAUCCCGCGUGAAGGAAGACUGCCCUAUGGGUUGUAAACUUCUUUUAUGUACCAAGAAUGUGAGCUACGUGUAGCUUUUUGACGGUAGUACAUGAAUAAGCAUCGGCUAACUCCGUGCCAGCAGCCGCGGUAAUACGGAGGAUGCGAGCGUUAUCCGGAUUCAUUGGGUUUAAAGGGUGUGUAAGGCGGCUUAUUAAGUCAGUGGUGAAAUCCUGCGGCUCAACCGUAGAACUGCCAUUGAUACUGAUAAGCUUGAAUAUAGUUGAGGUAGGGCGGAAUAUGUAAUGUGGCGGUGAAAUGCUUAGAUAUUACAUAGAACACCGAUUGCGAAGGCAGCUUACUAAGCUAUAACUGACGCUGAGGCACGAAAGCGUGGGUAUCGAACAGGAUUUAGAUACCCCUGCUACUCCACGCUGUAAACGAUGAUCACUCGAUAUUGGUUUUCGGCCAGUGUCCAAUCGAAAGCGUUUAAUGAUUCACCUGGGGAGUACUCUCCCAAGAGGUGAAACUCAAAGGAAUUGACGGGGGCCCGCACAAGCGGUGGAGCAUGUGGUUUAAUUCGAUGAUACGCGAGGAACCUUACCAGGGUUUAAAUGUAGGACGACAGGUGUGGAAACACACUUUUCUUCGGACGGCCUACAAGGUGCUGCAUGGUUGUCGUCAGCUCGUGCCGUGAGGUGUCGGGUUAAGUCCCAUAACGAGCGCAACCCCUACUUCUAGUUGCCAGCGGAUAAUGCCGGGGACUCUAGAGGAACUGCCAGCGUAAGCUGAGAGGAAGGUGGGGAUGACGUCAAAUCAUCACGGCCCUUACAUCCUGGGCUACACACGUGCUACAAUGGUAGAGACAAUGAGCAGCCAACCGGCGACGGUGAGCUAAUCUUCAAACUCUAUCUCAGUUCGGAUCGGAGUCUGCAACUCGACUCCGUGAAGCUGGAAUCGCUAGUAAUCGCGCAUCAGCCAUGGCGCGGUGAAUACGUUCCCGGGCCUUGUACACACCGCCCGUCAAGCCAUGGAAGCUGGGGGCGCCUGAAGUCGGUCACCGAAAGGAGCUGCCUAGGGCGAAACUAGUAACUGGGGCUAAGUCGUAACAAGGUAGCCGU